UGAACUUAAAAUUUCAAAAUCAUUCCCAAGAAAGUAUGCCAAAAUGUUUUAGAACAUUGUUUAUUGUCUGAAGGAAGUGUACAGUCCAUCAAAUAGUGCUGACCCAUAAAGUCUCCAGGAGUAAUUGCAGUAAAAGUGGCCCUUUACAAAUACGACAAGCUCCUUUAGAAUGAAUUUCUAAAUUUUCAACAUCUCCUCGCUCUUUCUGCUUUGAGAAUCAAGG
This 223-nucleotide unclassified non-coding RNA is filed under the name Hevea brasiliensis (rubber tree). Lineage: Eukaryota; Viridiplantae; Streptophyta; Magnoliopsida; Malpighiales; Euphorbiaceae. The record is from RNAcentral.